UUGUUAAGUCAGAUGUGAAAUCCCCGGGCUCAACCUGGGAACUGCAUCUGAUACUGGCAAGCUUGAGUCUCGUAGAGGGGGGUAGAAUUCCAGGUGUAGCGGUGAAAUGCGUAGAGAUCUGGAGGAAUACCGGUGGCGAAGGCGGCCCCCUGGACGAAGACUGACGCUCAGGUGCGAAAGCGUGGGGAGCAAACAGGAUUAGAUACCCUGGUAGUCCACGCCGUAAACGAUGUCGACUUGGAGGUUGUGCCCUUGAGGCGUGGCUUCCGGAGCUAACGCGUUAAGUCGACCGCCUGGGGAGUACGGCCGCAAGGUUAAAACUCAAAUGAAUUGACGGGGGCCCGCACAAGCGGUGGAGCAUGUGGUUUAAUUCGAUGCAACGCGAAGAACCUUACCUGGUCUUGACAUCCACGGAAGUUUUCAGAGAUGAGAAUGUGCCUUCGGGAACCGUGAGACAGGUGCUGCAUGGCUGUCGUCAGCUCGUGUUGUGAAAUGUUGGGUUAAGUCCCGCAACGAGCGCAACCCUUAUCCUUUGUUGCCAGCGGUCCGGCCGGGAACUCAAAGGAGACUGCCAGUGAUAAACUGGAGGAAGGUGGGGAUGACGUCAAGUCAUCAUGGCCCUUACGACCAGGGCUACACACGUGCUACAAUGGCGCAUACAAAGAGAAGCGACCUCGCGAGAGCAAGCGGACCUCAUAAAGUGCGUCGUAGUCCGGAUUGGAGUCUGCAACUCGACUCCAUGAAGUCGGAAUCGCUAGUAAUCGUGGAUCAGAAUGCCACGGUGAAUACGUUCCCGGGCCUUGUACACACCGCCCGUCACACCAUGGGAGUGGGUUGCAAAAGAAGUAGGUAGCUUAACCUUCGGGAGGGCGCUUACCACUUUGUGAUUCAUGACUGGGGUGAAGUCGUAACAAGGUAACCGUAGGGGAACCUGCGGUUGGAUCACCUCCUUACCUUAAAGAAGC
This 965-nucleotide ribosomal RNA is filed under the name Escherichia coli. RNAcentral describes it as "bacterial SSU rRNA". It matches the Rfam family "Bacterial small subunit ribosomal RNA", at positions 580 to 1533 of the family's 1533-position model. Lineage: Bacteria; Pseudomonadati; Pseudomonadota; Gammaproteobacteria; Enterobacterales; Enterobacteriaceae. The record is from RNAcentral.